This is a long non-coding RNA of Belonocnema kinseyi, 701 nucleotides long. RefSeq lists it as uncharacterized. The transcript is spliced from 5 exons. The record is from RefSeq and is a predicted model, not a curated record. NCBI's taxonomy places the organism in Eukaryota, Metazoa, Arthropoda, Insecta, Hymenoptera, Cynipidae.
GGUAAGUUAAUGAUUUUAUAUUUACAUGGAGAGGUAUAAACUGUAUACAUUGACAUGCUGUGGAAAAUAAAAGUGAGUUUAACAAGAGAAAAUGUGGUUCCUGCGGCUACUUGAGGGGAGACAUAACCUGUAUUUGAGAUCAUCCAUGUUUUGACGAAUAUGAUGAAGAGUCGCAGUUUAUUAUUAUUAAUAAAAAUCACGUUGUAACUAUUGAGAAAAAUGAUACAAAUAAUUUUGGAAACGAAAAGAAGAAUAAAUGGAAUAAUGAAUGGGAUGAAAUGCUUAUUAGAGAGGUUUCGCAGAGACCUGCUCUUUAUAAUUAUAGGUUGCCAUUAAAAGAACGCACUACUUUGAAGACAAACGAUUUGUGGCAAGAAGUUUAUAAUUAUCUACAAGUUUCUUAUAUUAAAUGGAUACGAAGUCGGUGGGCAGCUCUAAAAAUGAAGUACAUGAAAGCAAAAGUAGGAGAAAGAGCCUACAGAUGGAGUGGUUCCGAUGCACCAAAAAAGAAAAAAACGUGAUUUUGAACGUUUUGAAAUGAUGAAAUUUUUCGAUGAUUUAUCAAAACCUGUAAGAACAAUAAGUAGCUUAUCAUCGAAUUUUGGAGAUAAUCAGGAAAACGAAGAAGAUCAAGAGGAAGUUAAUAGUGUUCAGUGCAUCUUGCGUGCACAUUGCCUGUAGCCGAAAUUCAAUGGGAUGAA